CAAUAGCGUAUAUUAAAGUUGUUGCGGUUAAAAGCUCGUAGUUGGAUUUCUGUUGAGGACAGCCGGUCCGCACUACGUGCGUGUAUCUGGUUUGGCCUUGGCAUCCUCCGAGAUAACGUGAUUGCGCUUCAUUGCGUGAUCCGGGGUUUCGGACUUUUACUUUGAGGAAAUUAGAGUGUUCACGGCAGGCAUACGCCUUGAAUAUAUUAGCAUGGAAUAAUAAUAUAGGAUCUUGGUUCUAUUUUGUUGGUUUCUAGGGCUAGGAUAAUGAUUAAUAGGGACAAUUGGGGGGCAUUCGUAUUAACGCGUCAGAGGUGGAAUUCUUGGAUUGCGUUACGACGAACUACUGCGAAAGCAUUUGCCAAGGAUGUUUUCAUUGAUCAAGAACGAAAGUAAGGGGAUCGAAGACGAUCAGAU
Molecule: ribosomal RNA, 417 nt
Filed under: uncultured eukaryote
Lineage: Eukaryota
Description: bacterial SSU rRNA
Rfam family: Eukaryotic small subunit ribosomal RNA
Source: RNAcentral